Molecule: long non-coding RNA, 2908 nt
Organism: Myotis brandtii (Brandt's bat)
Lineage: Eukaryota; Metazoa; Chordata; Mammalia; Chiroptera; Vespertilionidae
Exons: 2
Source: RefSeq, a predicted model, not a curated record
UCCUUCCUGCCCUCCCUCUUCCCGGCCUCCUUCCUCCCCGGCCUCCUUCCUCCCCGGCCUCCUUCCUCCCUGAGGCAGCAGGGGCCUCCUGCAGGGGCUCUCACUCUGCCAGCAGGUUGUCCUCCCCUUGGCCCAGGCUGUGUUCCUUGGGAACUGGUCCCUGGCCACAGGGAGCUUGGUGCCCGUCCUGCAGCGAGGCAGGGCCAGGUCUCGGCCUGCUCGGCACCACGUGCUCUUUGGUCUUCACCUGCUUCGGCACCACCGCGCUGGUCUUCCCGCCGGCACCACAGCUGACAUGGGCUCUGUGGAAAAGGGGCCCGUGGUUUCCAUUGGCCAGAAGGAAGAGACGUCGUCUUGGCCUGGCUGCUUCCGCCCGUGUCACACCUAAGAUAGCACUGUGUGCUCAGCUGUUCUUACACUGUCUUUGCAAUGAUGUAAAUGCAAGAAACCACUUGGCUGACAGCGAGUGACUGGUCUUACCGAUGUGAAGACCCUUUUAAACAUAUCAAGACUUCGGUGCAUCACAGGUGUGCGUGGGGUGGGAGGUCAGGGACCGUGUUCCCUCAGCUUUGUCUUAAAGAGUAUCAAUGUGAAUGUCAUAAUGAUAUCUAUUUUUGUGGAAGAUUUCUCCUAAGUAUAAGUUAUUGUGCAAAAUAUAGUACCAUUGAAACAAAUGAUAGUUUUAGUUUAGAAAUCCUAAAAGAUAUAAAUUGUAUUACAUAUGCAUUAAAAGUUUGUUUUAUUUAAUUUUAUGUAGCUGUGUAAAGUGUUAGGUAAAGUUCUUCUCGCUUCUCCAUUGAAACACCUUGUUACUUGAAUGUCGUGCUGGCUGGUUUGAAACAGUGAUCAGUUCUGUAAUGUAGCUCUUACCCAGGGAGCCGCCGCCUCCGGGACUGGUGAGCGCGGCCAGGAGCCGAGGUCGGGCGGCACCGCUGAGCGGGCUCGCUGUGUGUGCCACCCAGACACCAGUCCCGUGAAAUGCUUUGAUAGUUUUUAACUGUAAGACCCUUUGAUGCUCACAAACCUCUAAUCAGAACAUGAGUAUGAAAACACAAUUGGUUUACAACUUGACUCUGCAGGACAAAGUAAGCAGUUUCCUGCGUGUAUAAAGUUUCCUCAAAUAUCACGCGCCUGUAAGUGUGCUCAUUGUCACUUUAAAUUCCUACUCCCCCCUAUUUUUGUCUUUCUGAAUAUCAGAUGUACUGUUGGUAUAACCGUGCACCAAAAAUAAGCCACCAGUGCGUUCCACUGGCCGGACCUGCCGGGCGCAGGAGGUGGAGCCGCCUUCCUCUAGCCCCUUGCUGAACCCUAGGACCCAGGAUUCAAGCUUUUGUUCUGUUUUUAUGCAUUAUUUUAUUUAUAUUCAUACCUGAAUCCCAAAUUUAUAAAAUAGCUCUAAACCUGUAUUCCACAACUGAACAUGACACAUUCUUAAGUUAUCACCGUUACGCCAUCGAUGAGUUUGUUUUCGAGCCACCGAACCGUGUGCCAGAGGGCCUUUCCUCUGCUCUGCAGGCAACGGCAUUGCCACCAACUGUGUUCUUCAUGGUUUGGGCCCUUUGGCCAAAAAGGCGUCUAGGUCUUGUUUCAGGUUCAUUGUAGGAUGACGGAGAGCAGCGAUUUCAGUGGUGGUUCCACCGUCCGCCUCGGGAGUCCGGAAGGCUUCUUGUCCUUUUACCGGCUCCAUAAGGAGCGUAGCACCUCCCUCGGCCCAAGCGGAGCGACCCGCCCAGAGCAGAGAGCACCCUCCCCACCAGCCAGACCCGUCCCGCUGGGCUCUGCUCCGUUCGUUCGUUCGCGGGCCUCUUGUUUCCCGAAUGAGAAGGGGCUGGGGCUCCUUCCCCGGUGGUGGAGCCUCAUUGGACCCCAUCAACCGCUCAUGCACCCUUCACACGCGGACUUGGCUUUUAUCGUCAUGAGCCGAAAGAGGCCUUGCACUGUUCUGGGAAUAAUUCCCACGCCUCUGGACCAUGACGUUUUCCCUCCGCUGUUGUCUUCCCAGAGGAUGUCUGUCCACGCAAACACGGUUCCCUGGUUCCCCUCCAGGACACGCUUCACCGCCCUCCGCGCAGCCCGCUCUGGAGACGCGCUGGACUGGAAGGCCUGGGCCAGUGCACAUGGCCGGGCGCCAUCAGGACCGCGUCUUCUGACACUCGGGGGUGUACACGCUCAGUCCUGGAGGAAGCAGGUCGUGGGAGCGGGUCUAGGGCCUCAAGGCUGAGUCCAUCCGCGCUGGCUCCCCCGCACCGGCCUGGUCAGACUGCAGGGCCCAGGGGUUCUGGAGGUUGGGAAGGUGGUCCCCUCCUUCCUCGGAGAGGGCAGAGCCCCCACUUCUCCCCACCCCUACCCCCACCCCCAGUCACUCCUAAAGCCCAGAGUCCAGCUUUUAAUCAUGUGCAGCUUUGCCUCAAGCCGAGGCCUGCGAGGCCCAGCAGCGGGCACCCCUGCGCCUGGGCCCACCUUUCCUCACCCGAUGAAGCACAACCGCCUGCUCAGCGGAUGCCCCGUCCGUGCCCGCCAGCCACCAGUGCAUGCAGACUCGGCUCGGCGGAGUGCUUUGUAAGUUGCUAAAAACUUCAGGAUUUUAAAAGAUGUGCAAGGCUAAGUUUGACACGAUCGUCAAAUUGCUGUAUAUCUUUUCAAGUGAUGAAGCCCACCUGGGGAUUUUAAAGAAAAGAAGUUGUACUAUGCUGUGUGAGAAAUAUUUGACUGUCUGCGCCUGUUUUCUAUCUCAGUACUCAAGAUUAUGGUGACUGUUCAUAGCAUGAUCAUUGCUUAGCCGUUGGAGGUUAACAUUUGUUAGUGGAGAUCGGGAAAAUUUAUUUGUGCGAUUCUGCAGAGUUCAUUUUUCUAUUCCCAAUAUUGGCGGAAGUUAAAUAAAAAUUUUCAAGCCAUUGAUGUAACAAAA